CCUUCACCAAGGAUGAACGCUUGCAUGCCAUUCAUGCUCUUGUCAGCAAAAAUUGCAAGCCUUGGCUCUGGAAAGGUCUUUUCAGCUGUCACUUCCUCAAUAUCAGUCCCGACCUGCAACAAAUAAGAGUUAAAUUUGAGUGCUAUUCCCACAAGUCUCUGCUAAAGCACACUCUUGCUGUUCAUCAAAAUGAUCCAAGAUUUAUGGUCAAUUGUAGUGUAUGUGGCAAGUCAGCAACAAAAUGGGAGACUUUGAGGAAGCAUUUACGAAAGCAUGAUGUUCAGAUCGACGCAAGUGAUCCAAUUACAAGUGACCCAGAAUCUUGUACAACCACAAAUGAUGACGUUGACGACGAUUCACUACCAUCGGUUACAUCGGCUCAUCCCAAGUUUGACCGGGCCAUGUUUCUUCUUCGCAGCACUAGCAGUUUAGCACUUAAUUAUUCAAGCAUCGAACAUCUAUGCGAAUCAACACAGACACUAAUGGAGCAAACUGCAGGACAAAUGCAGCAGAAAAUGUUGUGUUGUCUUCAAGAAAAAGGCAUCACUGUGGAUGAGGUCGUGAAGAAGAUUGUCACAGAAUGUUGCAAUGUUGAUGAAAUGUUUAGCGGUUUGUCUUCACGAGCGUUAAGAGAGAAAUACUACAAACAGCAUCUCAAUUAUGUGGAACCAUCACCAUCACUUCUCAACAAGAACUUGGACUGGGUGAAUGACCACGGCAAGAUGCAUCUGAAGGAGGUUGAGGCUAA
Halichondria panicea is the source of this 748-nucleotide long non-coding RNA. RefSeq lists it as uncharacterized. Lineage: Eukaryota; Metazoa; Porifera; Demospongiae; Suberitida; Halichondriidae. The transcript has 4 exons. The record is from RefSeq and is a predicted model, not a curated record.